This 256-nucleotide ribosomal RNA is filed under the name uncultured bacterium. Its description in RNAcentral is "partial 16S ribosomal RNA". It matches the Rfam family "Bacterial small subunit ribosomal RNA", at positions 521 to 776 of the family's 1533-position model. The record is from RNAcentral.
UAAUACGAAGGGGGCUAGCGUUGUUCGGAAUUACUGGGCGUAAAGCGCACGUAGGCGGAUUGUUAAGUGAGGGGUGAAAUCCCAGGGCUCAACCCUGGAACUGCCUUUCAUACUGGCAAUCUAGAGUCCGGAAGAGGUGAGUGGAAUUCCGAGUGUAGAGGUGAAAUUCGUAGAUAUUCGGAGGAACACCAGUGGCGAAGGCGGCUCACUGGUCCGGUACUGACGCUGAGGUGCGAAAGCGUGGGGAGCAAACAGG